This is a long non-coding RNA of Hippocampus zosterae (dwarf seahorse), 935 nucleotides long. RefSeq lists it as uncharacterized. The record is from RefSeq and is a predicted model, not a curated record. Lineage: Eukaryota; Metazoa; Chordata; Actinopteri; Syngnathiformes; Syngnathidae. The transcript has 3 exons.
GUUGGAAGUGCCGAUCAUGGUGAAGGCCGCUGGGGAACAAAGUGGGCAAAGAGCCCGAGGGUUGUGUGGUGGACAAAGGACAGAGGAGAGGCGGUGUUGCAGUUGACUAACUUCACUCACACAACUAGCUGAGCCUGGAAAGAGGUCACUGACGAGCAGAUGGGAAAGGGAGGACUGAUGAAAUGCAGAGGAAAACCUUCACCCUGAGUAUCACAGCAAGGCAAAUGGACAGACGUGAUUCAUAAGGAUGCAUUAACACAUGGAGAAACAAUGGAAAACCCACAGUUUGGAGAAAGUCUCCAGGCACGGAGAGAUGAUUACUAUCUCGUAAAAGGAGGAUUUUUUUUUUUUUAAAGGUCAUCAAUGGAAUAAAAUGAUCAAACAUUAUCAGGUGUUUUGGAAAGUGUGCGGCGUACGACACACACAUCCUCUUUAGGACACAUUAUUUGUUCUGGCUACAUCAGAUAAAUGAAACAUCAUGUGGCUUUGCCCUUGCUUGACAACAUUUCACGUGACAUCGAUUGAAAUUUGGGCUCUUGAAAAAGGACAGUGGAUGAAGAUUAGACAGAGAGACAAUCAGGCAGACAGGCAGGGUUCAAAACAGGCAGCAAGAUGGAUCUUGUUUUGCUUUGCAUGAUCCUUGGCUGUGAUUAGAUGCUGAUGCUUCCAUGCACAGAUGUCUUUGUGGCUCCAAUAUUAUGACUUUUAAGGCGGGAGUAGAGGGAGGAAGGCUGGCUGGUGGAAUUGAACAAAACGUACAAUCUAAAUCCCUUUUUCAUAUUGUUUGUCAACUAGAAAAAAUUACGAAAAAUGACCUGAACUGAAAUGACAGCAAACAUUUUUUUUGAUUGCUAGACACAACCCCCAAAAGAGUUUCUUUAUUUUUCUAUUUUUCUGAUGAUGUUUAAUUAUUCUACUCUUUAUUCUAUCAAAUA